GACGAACGCUGGCGGCGUGCUUAACACAUGCAAGUCGAACGGAAAGGCCCUGCUUUUGUGGGGUGCUCGAGUGGCGAACGUGUGAGUAACACGUGAGUAACCUGCCCUUGACUUUGGGAUAACUUCAGGAAACUGGGGCUAAUACCGGAUAGGAGCUCCUGCUGCAUGGUGGGGGUUGGAACGUUUCGGCGGUUGGGGAUGGACUCGCGGCUUAUCAGCUUGUUGGUGGGGUAGUGGCUUACCAAGGCUUUGACGGGUAGCCGGCCUGAGAGGGUGACCGGUCAGAUGGGUCCUGAGAACUCGAUGAAUACAGUACGGGAGGCAGCAUUGGAGAGUGGUGGAAGAGGGGCUGACCACGCAUGCAUCAACGCGGCGUGGCGGAUGGGGGGCUGCGGGUUGUAUUUUGCUCUCGCCUGUGACGCACCGAGAGCGACGGUAACGGGUAAAGAAGCACCGCCUAAGGACGCG
RNAcentral lists this ribosomal RNA (468 nucleotides) under uncultured bacterium. RNAcentral's name for it is "partial 16S ribosomal RNA". It matches the Rfam family "Bacterial small subunit ribosomal RNA", at positions 28 to 507 of the family's 1533-position model. The record is from RNAcentral.